This 340-nucleotide long non-coding RNA is filed under the name Lathyrus oleraceus (garden pea). Its description in RNAcentral is "Pisum sativum (pea) long non-coding RNA (PSAT_LNC011884)". The record is from RNAcentral. Lineage: Eukaryota; Viridiplantae; Streptophyta; Magnoliopsida; Fabales; Fabaceae.
CAUAAAGUCCGUCAAAACACCAAAUAAAUGGCCAUGAAAAUUAUGGAAGAUUGGAAAUAAAAUAAGAAACAUUUAAUAAAUUUUUCAGAAUUUAAAAAUGCAGAAAAAUAUAUUUAAACCAAUUAAAAUAAAGGUGAAAUAAGAAAAUUCAUGAAAAAUAGAAAAUAAGUGAAAUAAAAUAUGAAAAGAUAAAAAUAAGAUGAAGAAAAAUAAAAGAGAAUUUUAGAAAUUAUUUUGGGAUUUUUUUGAUGGAAAAUGAAAUUACUAUGAAUUUUAAAAGAAAAAGUAAUUAAAAAUAAUUAAAAAACAGAAAAACACGGAGCGUUAGAUCACGCCUCAU